AGUGAACGCUGGCGGUAGGCCUAACACAUGCAAGUCGAACGGCAGCACAGUAAGAGCUUGCUCUUACGGGUGGCGAGUGGCGGACGGGUGAGGUAUACAUCGGAAUCUACUCUUUCGUGGGGGAUAACGUAGGGAAACUUACGCUAAUACCGCAUACGACCUACGGGUGAAAGCAGGGGAUCUUCGGACCUUGCGCGAUUGAAUGAGCCGAUGUCGGAUUAGCUAGUUGGCGGGGUAAAGGCCCACCAAGGCGACGAUCCGUAGCUGGUCUGAGAGGAUGGUCAGCCACAUUGGAAGUGAGACACGGUCCAGACUCCUACGGGAGGCAGCAGUGGGGAAUAGUAGACAAUGGGCGCAAGCCUGGUCCAGCCAUACCGCGUGGGUGAAGAAGGCGUUCGGUUUGGAAAGCCCUUUUGUGGGUAGAGAAAAGCAGCAGGUUAAUACCCCGCUGUUCUGACGGUACCCAAAGAAUAAGCACCGGCUAACUUCGUG
RNAcentral lists this ribosomal RNA (492 nucleotides) under uncultured bacterium. Its description in RNAcentral is "partial 16S ribosomal RNA". It matches the Rfam family "Bacterial small subunit ribosomal RNA", at positions 29 to 507 of the family's 1533-position model. The record is from RNAcentral.